GGGGGGCUGCCAUGGGUAAUUGUGGAACUAAGUGAACUACUAUCACAAAAAGAUGCAACUCUAAAGGAGUGGUCAAAAGUUCUUGACCACUUAAAUCAAGAUCAAGAGCCCUGGUUAAAAAUCCUAGAUGAGAUUAACAAGCAUUUACCUUUGCAUUUGAGAAGAUGUCUCUUUUAUUUUGGAUUAUUUCCAGCAGGCUUUAAGAUCCCUGCAAGAAGAUUGAUUGCCUUGUGGGUUGCAGAAGGUUUGGGGCGCCAACAGAGUAAUGAACAAUCCCCUGAAUAUGUUGCAGAGGCAUGCUUGAUAGAGUUAAUGAACUAUAAUAUGGUUCAGGUGACAGAAAAGAAACUCAAUGGGAAAGUUAAGACAUGUUGCCUACCUGAAGCUCUGCUAGUACACUGGUUCUCAAAAGCCAAGGAAGCUAAUUUUCUUCAAGGUCAUUCUGACGUUUCCAACUCCAACAUAGGUGUAAUACGCCGUCUUGCUGACCAUCUUCAGCAGAGUGAUGCCAUCUUUGAUGAUAUUCAUGGUUACAGCAAUGCUUCCUUGUACUCUCGCUACAGAGAUGUGGUCUCCUUUUUAUCCUUUGAUACACGAGAAGGAAGCAGACCUGGAGAAGAUAUAGGGAACUUUCUCGAUAGAUCCAUCUCAAGCAAAUGCUUCCGGUUCCUCUGGGUGUUGGAUCUGGAAAAUGUAUACAAGCCAAAACUGCCCAAGGCAGUGGGUCAAUUGACUUGUUUGAGGUAUUUUGGCUUGAGAUCAACAUACCUGGAGAUGCUUACUGUGUCCAUCAACAAAUUGCUGAACCUUCAAACACUGGACUUAAAGCGCACUUUCAUCGACACUCUUCCCAGUUCAAUAUGGAAGAUGCAAAAGCUAAGGCAUUUGUUUCUUGAUGAGAGUUUCCAUAAUGCUUUGCGUCGACAAGAAGACAGCUCUCUCGUGGACCUUCAAACGCUCUGGGGUGCAUUUGUGGAUGAGGAUAGUCCUGUGAGAAAUGGCCUGGACACUUCAUUGAAUAUUACAAAAUUGGGAAUGAAAUGUAAGAUAUCUGUGCCCUCUCAAAAUGCAGCAAUGUCCUUACAACUGGAUAAUGUGGCCAACUGGGUUGUAAAACUAAAACAACUUCAAUGCUUAAGGUUGAAAUCAUUUGAUGAAUCAGGCCAGCCAUGGGAUCUGCAGUUGCAGUCUUUGAUAGAGCAUGUGAAACUUUCCAAUAUAUAUUUGGUUGGAAAGCUAAAGAAUCAGCACCUUGUAUCUGAGUUACCAAAGAGCCUGAUUGAACUCACCUUGUCAGCAUCCGGAUUAGUAGAGGAUCCAAUGCAAGCAUUGUACAAGCUACCCAACCUCAAAAUCAUUAGACUCUUGUCCAAAUCCUUCAUUGGAAAGAAAAUGCUCUGCAGUUUUGGAGGAUUUCCAAAGCUUGAAAUCCUAAAGCUCUGGGAGCUCGAGCUGCUGGAGGAGUGGAAUGUGGAGGAAGGAGCACUGCCUAGCCUGAAAGACUUGGAAAUCAGAUCCUGUAGAAAUUUAAAGAUGCUUCCUCAUGGACUUCAGCAUGUUGGGACUCUUCGUGAAUUAAAAUUAACAAAAUUGCCAAUGGUAUCAUCAAGGAUUAAGGAUAAUCUUGGUGGGGAAUGUGAUAAGAUUGCUCAUAUACGCCAUGUGUGGAAGGAGGAUUGAUAAUCCUUAGCAGAAGUCCAACCAAGAAUGGGUAUAUUUUCUCUGUUUAUCUAACAUCUAUAGCAUUUGAUAUAUUAGAAUUUUUUACUUAAUUAUCAUGAUAAUAAUUAUUUUACCAGUGUUAUAUUGCUGAUUCAUUCAGGAUAUGUUCUCAAGGUCAUGAUUCAGAGGAAAUCAAGUGAAAUGAUGGCUCAUUUUCCAAUAUUAUUUUGUGUUUUUUUCUGUUUUUAUUUUCUUUUAUUUUUUCUUUUCCUUUAUUCAGUUUACAGAUCUGUGUAAUUUAAGUGUAAUGUAAUUUUUCCUGUAUGCUUUCCAAGUGGUUAAAGGUUCAAUUUCACCCUUAUACUUAUUGGUAAAGUUUAAUUUAGCCUUUGUUUUUUUUUUUAUUAGUUCAAAAGUUUCAAUUUUAAGCUUAAUUUUGUUGAAGACUUUAUUUGUUUGUGGAAAAUAAUUUAUAUGCAGAAAUUAUUUUUUAUGAAUAAUAUUUUGUAUUAUUUUAAUAAAAUAAUUUAUUUUUUAUUUUUUAAUUUUAAUUUAAAAAAUAAAAUAUAUUAAUAAAUUUAUAUAUUUAAAUCUUAAUAAAAAUUUUAAAUGCAGUAAAUAAUUUAAAAUAGUUUAAUUUUUUUUUAAAAAGGAAAGUCAUUUUUAAAUGAUUUUAAUCAAUGAAAUAUCUUUCAUUAAUUAAUCUAUAUUAUAUAUAAAAGUGGAAAGAGGAGGGAUAAUAUGAUUGCCGGUUUUAUAUUAUAUUUUUUAACUAUUUACGAUUAAUUUUAAAUUUUAAAAUAGAUAAUUAUUUUAUUAUUUAAAUAAUUUUUUAAAAUAGUUUUAAAUAUUUAUCAUUUUUUCAAAUGAUGAAUUUUUUAUUUAUGAAAUUAAUUAAUUCUAUUUAAUAAUUAUACAGGAUAAUUAUUAAAGAUUAAUAAUUUUGGUAAUAUUUAAAUUAUUUUUUUAGAUAAGAUUACUAAAAUAAUAAGUUUGAAUACUUAGUUAAAAAUAUUAAAAUAAUUAUCAUAUAUCGUAUUAUUAGAUUUACAUUUAAAUAUUAAAUAAUUAUAAAAAUAAUAUAAAAUAAAAAUUUUAUUAAUAUUAAAUUAUUCAAUAAUAAGUAGUUUUUCUAAUUACUAAUAAUUAUAUCAAAAUAAAAAUUAAAUAUUAAUUAAUUAUAAAAAAGAAUAUAAAAAGAAUAGUUUUGAUAAUAUAAAAUUAUUAAAUAAUGUGUUGAUCUUUUAAUUAUAAUAAUUAUAUUUUAUUUUUAAAGUAAAAAUAAUAAUUAUUAUUAAAAUUAAUUUAAAAUUAGUAAAUAAGUAUAUAAAUUUUAAGACACUCGGCUUAAUGGUGAGUGUAUUUGAAUAAAUUUAAAAGAUAUCAAGUUUUACUUCCCAAUCCUUCAAUUCUCACAAAACAGAUAGUAUAUAAAUUUUAAGAUGUACAUAAAUAGUAAAAAAAUCAAAUUUUACUAUUAGAAAUUAUAGGAUAAUAAAUGAUAAUAUAACUCGGAUAAUGAUAAAUUAAUUUUUAAUUAAAAAUAUUAAAAUAUUAAAAUAUUAUAGUAAUAUUAAAUUAUUAGAUAAUAAGUCUAAAUUUAUAAAAUUAAAAUUAUAAGAUAGUAAUUAAAAAAUUAUCAACUAUAUAUAUAAAAAAAAAUCUAAAAAAUUUUAUAGUAUAAUCUAAAAACUUCUUUAUGUAAUUAUAAAAGAUUAAUAAUUUUAAUUAUAUAAAAUUAUCAUACAAUAAGUUGUUACUUUAAUUAUUUAUUAUUAUAUUUAAAUGUUAAAGUAAACAAUAAUUUUUAUUAUCUCCAUUUAUUUAAAUCAAUUAAAUAAAUAUGUAAAUUAUUUUUAAUGUAUUAAAUUAAGUUUUAAAAUAAUUAAGAUAAUUUAUUUAUUAUUUUUAUUAUUUUUAGUACAUCUCUUUAUUCUAAAAAUUUUUUAAAUAAUAUUUUAAUUUAUAAAUACUAAUUAUCUUUAACAUGGUUUUAUUUUGUUUAUACUUUUAUAAUUAAUUUGUUGAUGACAUUAUUAAUAUGGAAAAAAUAAUAAUAAUCAAUAAAUAAAUUAUUUUUAUUGAUAAUUUAUAAUUUUGAUAAAAAAAUUUAAAACUAUUAAAUUUUAUUGUUGGUUGGAUUACAUAAUUUAAAAAUUUACUCAGCCAAUUAAAAAAUUAAUAUUAGCUAAUUUUAAAAUAAAUAUUAUAUUUUAUUAUAAAAAAUAUUUUCAUAUAUUUUAUAUUUAUUUUCUUAUUAUAAAUUUUAUAAUAAUUUAUUUUUUAUAGAAAAUAAAAAUUGAAAGUAUUAUAUUUAAAGUUGAUAUAUUUAAGUAUUCAUUUGAAAAGAAUAAUCCUACUAUUUACUUUAAUAUUUUACAAAAAAUUUGAAUUAAUUAAGAUUUUAUAUUGUUUUAUAACAUAAAUCAAGAAGCUUAAGUUGAUAAAUUUUGGAUUAAUUUUUUAUUUUCUAAAAAUAUGAAGAUUUUUUUAAACUUUUAGAAUAAAUUGAACUCGAAAUUUAUGGAUUCAUUUGAAAAAAAUAAGAAUAAUUGCCUACUUUGAAUGGUUUGGUUUAGGGAUCAUAAUUCUAAACUAAGGGAUCAUGAUAUUGAUAUCAUGGAAAUCACCUUUGCCUAAUCAAGCGGCUUGGUUUAAGGAUAAUGAUUUGCAUAGGGAACAUGCUAUGAUGGAAUGAAAAUUAUUUAAAUUUGAUGUAAAAGCCUUUUUGUUGCUGGUAUCACAGCCUCCCUCCCAUCCUCUUUUUCUCAUUCCAAAGGAUUGAGAUCCAUCGUUUUCUUUCAUUUUUUUGGUGAUGUAUGUUUCUUUUGCUGUCUGGUGGCUACUCUUUUCUUCUAUAUUUUUGAAGGUUUUUUUUUAAUUGAUGCUUGACUCCUUGCUUUUUUAGUAUGUUGUUUAUACUUUGACUAUAUUUUUUAGAGUUGAAUAUUUACUUGCAGUUUGACCAAAGAGAGAGAUGAUCGAAAAAUAACACGAUGCAACUAUCGCUUUUCUUUAGGCGGAUCUUUAAUUUUCUGUUAAUAUUGGAUGUAUUUAAGGUUUUAUCUUGGAUUUCAUUACUCUUUCCAAAGGAUUGAGAUCCAUUGUUUUCUUUCAAUUUUUCGGUGAUGCAUGUUUCUUUUGCUGUCUGGUGGCUACUCUUUUCUUUUGUAUUUUUGAAGGUUUUUUUUUAAUCGAUGCUUAACUCCUUGCUUUUUUAGUAUGUUAGUUUAUACUUUCACUAUAUUUUUGGGAGUUGAAUAUUUACUUGUUUUUUGGCCAAAAAGAUGGAUGAUCAAAAAAUAACACGAUGCAACUAUCUGUCUUCUCUAAGCGGGUCUUUAGUUUUCUGUUAAUGUUGGAUGGAUUUAGGGUUUUAUCUUGGAUUUCAUUUCUCUUUUCAAAGGAUCGAGAUCCAUCGUUUUUUUUUGCAAUUUUUCGAUGAUGCAUGUUUCUUUUGUUGUCUGGUAGCUACUCUUUUCUUCUGUAUUUAAGGUUUUUUUUUAAUUGAUGCUUGACUCCUUUCUUUUUUAGUAUAUUGUUUAUACUUUGACUAUAUUUUUGAGAGUUGAAUAUUUAUUUACUGUUUGGCCAAAAAGAGAGAUGAUCGAAAAAUAACACGAUGCAACUAUCUGUUUUCUCUAAGCGGGUCUUUAGUUUUCUGUUAAUAUUGGAUGGAUUUAGGGUUUUAUCUUAGAUUUUAUCUGGUUAUCUUUUUAUUUGAGUCUUAGUAGAUUUAUGAUGAUUGUAUAGACUAUUUGUACUUAAAUUUUAAGCAUUUUGCUGUGAUGAAAUAUAUUUUAGAAAAAAAAAUAAAUAAAUUUUACCUUUAAUUCCUUUUAAUUACUCUAUGCAUGUACCAAAUUAAAGGAAGAAAUCUAUGUAAAUAUUUCAUCAAAUGGCUUGUGAGGAGAGAGUUUGAUAGUCUUUCUCCAUAAAUUUAAUUUAGUUAAAAGUUAAAUUUAUUUUUAAAUUAUAUAAUGAAUAAAAAAUAUCAAGUUUUAUCUUUUUAUUUAAAUUUACUUUUAAUUAUUAUUAAAAAUUAAAUAAUUUCAAGUAGAGUUUGAUAAAGUCAUUCUCUAUUAUACAUUGAUUUCUUUGGCUUUGGCUCAAUUAUAGAGGGAGGAAUUGGAAGUGAUAUCUAAGAAAUUUACUAUAUGAAAGCAAAGAAGAAAAAGAAAGACUUUGAAAUGAAUAAAGCCAAUUCAUUGACUAAUGACUACCUUUUUUCAUUUGGGAUCUUUCCCUUGCAUCUUCUUGUGGAAGUUUAGAAGAUUUUGAUUCAAUUUUUUAUAUGAAUUUUAUUAACUCCUUUAUUUUUUAAAAUUACAAUCAAAUAACAGAAAAAUUGAUAUAUUUUCUUCAAAACAUUCUGACAAAAAUUUUUUAAAAAAAAUUAAAAUUUUAUAAAAAUUUAAUUCAAUUCAAUUUUUUAAAGUUUAUUGGUUGAAAUAAAAGAAAUUUUUUUUGGAAACAUAAUUUUUUUUAAAUUAAACCAAUGGAAAUUUCUAAAGUUUUUAUUAAUAAUACCUCUUAAAAAAGAAAUAAAAAACAAUGUUCUCUAAAAAAGUAUAUAAAGCUUUGGCUUUGCUUAACUUCUUGCAAGAGAUGAGUUGAAUGACAAAUAGUAGGAAAAAGUGGAGACAAGUAAAGAAAAGAAAAAAAAAAUACUAAUUAUUUUUAUGAAUAUGAUUUUAAGAAUGUCACAAUGGAUUCCCUACAUAUGAAAAUACUUUAAAUUUGUAAUGAUUUGAAUAUUUAAUUAGCAUUCAAUUAUUUUUAUAAUGAAAAAGCAAAAUUUAUCUGCCAAUGUGAAUUGAGGAAGAAAAAGAAAAAGAAAAAGGAUCAUGAUUAAAGUGAAGUUGGAAAAAUGUAUCAAAAGUUUGAAUAACAAAGCCAAGGUAUAUAACCUAAUGGAGGGUUAAUUUUUUUAAUAUUUGUAAUUAUUUAAUUCUUUUAAUUUGAGUUAAUUUUUUUAAUUAAUAGUUGAUUCACGAUAAAUUUAAUAAAAUAAUCAUUUUAUUAAUGAAAUAAAAAUUAAAUUGCUUAUAAAUUAUCAUGUGAAUUACUCUUACUUUUUUUUAUUUCAUUAAUUUAUUGCUUGGUUUAACAAUUACCAUAAGACGGUUAAUUUUGUAAUUUUUUUAGAAAAUUAGUCAUUAAUAAUUAAUGACGGUAAUUAAAGAGUCAAAAUUAGUAACUUUGAGGAUUUCUUUUUUUAUCAAUGUAUAUAAUAUUGCAUUUUUUAAGGACUAGAGUUCGAUUGAUUCAUCAAAUAGAACCAAUUAUUAAUCCAAUAGAAAGUUCAUUCAACUAACCCAAACAACCAAGCAAACCAAAUAAUUCACUAACUCUGAAAAUUAAAACAAAUCAAACUGAUCAAUUAAAACUAAAAUCAAUAGAAAUCAAAUGAUGAUAAAAUCAAUCAAUAGUAAUGAUCUCACAUCAUAACAAAAACUGACCCUUCACCACAAUCACUGAAUGAAAAUAAAGCACUAGCAUGUAAAAUAGCAACACCAUUGAAGGGGUGAGCUAUUAAAUUAGCUUGUUUCCUUAUUCAAGAUAAAGUCCACCCAGAUUCUUGAGAUAAUAAAUUCCUAUAAUCGUCAUUAACUUGACCAAAUUCAAAAAUAUCAAAAUGCAUGUUUUAAAUUGCAUCUACAACAACUUUGGUAUUCAUUUCAAAACUUACAUUCGCUAUCUGCUCACGACUUAGCCAACAAAAUGACUCACGCAAUGCUAAAGCUUCUAGUAUAGUAAUGGGGAGAAUGGAAUCAAAGUAACCUGUUAAUCCCAUGAGGAAAUGACCUCGAUGAUCUCGUAAAACUGCUGCAUAGGUAGAACGCCUACUCUGAUUUUGAAUGCCAACAUCCACAUUAUAUUUCAACUUAUCAUAGUCUGGUAGAGUCCAAGUGGGAAUCGAAACAUGUCUGCGAAUGUUCUCUAUCCUAUCCUAGCAUGAAAAGUCUUCCAUUCACUCAAAACAUUAACCCAGCUUCCACUACUUCAUCUGCACUCGACGAUAUAUUAUAUCAUAGGAGCCAAUUACGUCGUGUCCAUAUACUCCAUGCCACAAUACAACUUUCUCCUUUAAGUCUUGUAUUGAAGUUUGCCAAAUAAAACUCAAAAAAUCAUUGACAUUAUUGUGUGUUAGUGUAUCUGUAUGUAAGCCAAGCAACUGCCAAUAGCAUUGUGUGAACAAGUGAGGAAAACAUGGUGAGUGUUCUCCACAUUUGAGCAAUAAAUACAGUAAGCAUUAAUAUCAAUGAUUUUUGCCUAAGAUUUAAUUUUGUUGGCAAGAUCCCUCUUAAUAAUCUCCUUAAAAAGUUCUUGAAUUUUGGAGGUACAUGGAGCUUCCACUCACCUGGCAUAGCAUAAUUGGCUGCACUAUUAUCAACAUAAACAACAACAUAAUAGCCAUAUUUAACAUUAUACUUUCUUAUCUUAUUAAAAUGCCAAAUUAGUUUAUUUUCUUGCUCAGUUAUGCUCAAAUGAAUCUUGAAGAUCUAUUUUACAUCCGUGGGGAGAAAGAAUUCUAAUAGGAGAUCGCCUGAUUAACCCAGCAACAGUAAGGUUACUUUCAAACCCUUACAUCAAGACCAUUACCUAUUCUCCAUCUUAAUCCUUUAAGCAACAAUGGUUAAGCUUGCAAUAAGCUUUUCCAACAAAAAUGGGGAUUAGACCCUUCUUUUGCAAACAAAAAGUUUACUCUUGAAAAAUAUUUUGUUUUGAAAAUUCCACUAAAUAAAGCAUUUCAGUUAGUAAUUAUCCUCCAAUUCUGCCUGCGAAGCAUUUGUAUAUUAAAAUGAUAAAAACUUUGAAAACCCAUCCCUCCUUAUUCUUUCCCUAAACACAUCUUCUCCUAGGUUAGCCAAUGGAUCCGUCUAUGUCCAUUCUCUUUGGAAUCCUAUCGGGAAGAGUUUAUUAUUCUUUAGAGCUCCUGACAUAAAGUAAUAGGGAGUGAAAACACUCAUACAAUAAAUCGAAAUUGCUUGUGCUACAAAUUUUAAUAAAAUUUCCUCACUUGCACUUAAGAGAAAUCUUCCAUACCAGCUAUGAAUACGCCUCCAUGCUCUUUUUUUGAGAAAAUAAAAAACUUAUUUUUUUAUUGCAUCCUAUUAAUAGUAGAAGAUCAAAAUAUUUGCUAUGAUUAAGGGAAGAUAAGACCCCUAAUUCUCUAAAAGCCGCAUUUUUAGCUUCUUCAUCCACAUUAGAGCUGAGAAAAAAUCUAAUUUCUGAAAAUUAACAACUUAUCUUGAAGCACUCUCAUAAAUCUGGAGGAUAUUUUUGACAUAUCUGCACUCCCGUAUUGUUGCUCGAAAAAAGAAGAAACAUGCAAAGAUCCAUCUUAAAAGUAAGAGUCUAGGAAAAUUAUCAAAAAAUAAGUCUAAUAUAAACUCCCCAUAAAAAAACGGUGCUAGAAACUUAAAAUAUAAAAUCAAAUUAAACAAUAAAUAAUAAAAUGAAAAAAAAACAAUGAAAUGACUGAAAACAAAAUCAAAACCUUCUUCAGCAAUGAAAGUGAAAAAACAACUUCAGAAAACAAAGGCUGGUAUUUGAACAGAUUUUGGUGAAAUCUAGGAAUGAACUGGACAUAAGUCUUUCUAGGCAAUUAUGUGCUCAAAGGGGUGAUCAGAUACUCAGAGAAAUGGAUUGCUUUGACAAGAUUGGCUGGAGUGUUGAAACAGAAUUUGAUCAAAGCAUUCUUCUAUGGCACAUUGCCACCGAUCUCUGCUUCUACGUUGAUCUUAACAAAAAGUCCAAUGUAAUUGAAACCCCGCUAUGCAAAGAAAGCAAAUCUUUAUCAGAAUACAUGCUGUAUCUUCUAGUUAUGUGCCCUUUCAUGCUUCCUAAUGGGAUUGGACAGAUGAGAUUUCAAGACACCUAUGCUGAGGCCACCCAAUUUUUACAAGAAAAAAAGCACAUCUCAGAUGAAAACAAAGCUUGCACUGCAUUACUUCAAGUGAACACUGAUAUUGUUCCAUCUCAAGUGAAAGGAGAUAGAAGCAAGACAGUGUUAUUCGACGCGUGUAGGCUCGCCAAAUCCUUGCAGGCUUUGGAGACAGAAGAGCAAUGGACAAGUGAGAAGAAGUGGGAGAUGAUAAAUCAUGUGUGGAUAGAGAUGCUUUCUUUUGCUGCAAAUCAGUGUGGAUCAAUCAACCAUGCCAAGCAACUCACAGGAGGAGGGGAGCUGCUCACUUAUGUCUGGCUAUUGAUGGCUCAUCUGGGUAUCACUGAACAAUUUCAGAUUUCUAAGGGCAAUGCAAGGGUGAAGUUGAUUUUGAGCUGAAGAUUCUUGAGGAUAAAAUCAUUGUUUGUGAUUUAAAUUAUAAUCAAAUAUAUAUUUAUAUUCAUGAAUUGUUUCAUAUUAAUAUAUUAACCACUUGAAUUAAUAUCGUAACAUAUUAUAAUCUAGAAGUUUUCCUAAAUUUUUCAUAAAAUGGUAAAAAUUUGAAGUUCAGUUCAUUGGGUUAAUUUGAAGGAAUAAUUACAAAAAAAUUAUCCCAUUAUCGGUAUUUUUUAGUAGGAUAUUGUGAUUUAAUUUGAAAAAAAUAUUUGGUUUUAUUUUAUUAGAAAAGUGCUAAAAAUGCGAUUUUUCUCUAAUAAAUGUUGAUAUAAUAUUUAAAAUUAAAUAAAUAUAAUUUUUAAUUAAAGUAUUUUAAUUCUUAAUAUUUUAUAAAAUAUAUAAUUAAUUUUACAUAUUAUUAAAUUUAGUUAUAAAAUUUUAUUUUAUAAUAAAAUAAUUCAUUUAAUUAUAAUUUAUCUCAAUAUUCUUACAAAUCACCCUAAAGAUUAUAAUGACUUAUAAAUAAAUAUUUAUAUUUUUUACAAUCUAAUCUCCAUAUUUAUUAAAUUUAAUAUCUUAUAUUUAACAACAAAUUAAUGAAAUAAAAAUUAAAUCAAGAAUAUUAACAUAAUAUACAUCUAAAUUUAAACUCAAAACAUUUUUCUCUAUGUAACUUUUCUUUUUCAAUGACUUCUUUUUAUUUAAUUAGGACCAAAAAGAUGAUAGAUUUUUUAUAUAAUUUUUAUGUUAUUAUUUUUUAUAUAUAAAAUAUUAAAAUUUAAUAAAUAUAGAGAUUAAUUUUCUCCUUCCCACAAAAUGAGAUUGUUUGUAUUGGUUGGAAAUGGAGAGACCUAAGAUUGUUUGUAUUGAAAAUUCUUUAGUUUAAAGUUUUUUUUUUUUUUUCAAUUUAUAAGGGUAUUAUAGUAAUUAAGAACGGCAUUCCAGAAAGCAACUCCACUUAGUCAACCAGAAAGCUACUCGCGAAUAAAGAAAUGCUCCUUGUGAAUAAAGAAGAAGGAGAAGGAGCUAUCUGUUUUUUCAGAACUAGCACAAGCAUUGAGGAAACCGAUUGUGAGAAAAAUUGAAGAAGAAGAAGAAGCAUCAAAGAAACCAGCGCAAAUGGCGAGAAAAAUCGUAUCGUCUGUGUUGGGAAAAAUUUCCAAUCUUCUUAUCCAAGAGUCAGAUUCACUGCUUGGAGUAGAAGAUCAAAUUCAAUGCAUUGAAACCCAAUUGAGAAAGGAUGCUGAUAUGUCUGUUAAUUUUUCUGAUAAGAAGGCUUUCAAAGAAACAGUUUACGAUCUUGAAGAUGUGAUUGAUCAGUUAAUUAUCAAAUCAGCCCAGAGAAGAAUCAGAUAUGCUUGCAUUCGCUCUGUUAUGGCUUUCGUUCAUCUGCCAAUGUCUUUAUUUUAUAUUUUGGCUCUUGUUGAUUUGCUAGAUUGUUACAGGCUUCGUGAGAAACUAGAAAAGAUUAAGAUUACAAUUUCCCCGCGUUAUCGUCCAGUUAUGCAGUCUGGUUACUGGCACAAGUCCUUUGGCAUAUACGAAGUGGGCAUUGGCUACUCUGUAAUUUCUCCUGUUAUGGGUUUGUUUGAGGCCUUAGCCACUCAGCAGGAGCUUCGUCCUGAUGUGCGACGGCAAGCCAGGAGAUUAAGAGACGAAUUCAGGUCUUUGCACGACUUUCUAAAAUAUGUUGAACAAUCAAAAGAAUUAAGUGAAGCAGGAAUGGCUUGGAUGGAGGAACUCUGCGAUGUUUGUCGCUCAGCUGAGAAUGUUGUUGGUUUCUUCAUGCAACAGAUGAAGAACGGGAGGAGAGGACCUUUCCAAAACUUGGUCUGGGCUCCCCGGCAUGUCAUUUCCCAGCAUAAGCUUUUCCGGCAGAUGGCCCGGAUUAAUGAUAAGAUCCGUCAUCUUUCUGGUAGAAGACAUAAAGCUAUUGCAAUGUUAAGGAGUGACAAUUUUAAAAGCUUAUAUCAAAAGAGAAAGCCACAUCCUCUUGAUGCUGAUCAACUUGAUAUAGUUAGCUUCCAUGAGGAUGUAGAUGCAGUUACGGCACAGCUGCUGAAAGAUGAUCCUCGCUGCAUCACCAUUUCAAUUGUGGGGGUCCGAGGCGUUGGAAAGACAAGCCUUGCAAAGUUAAUCUAUGAAAGCCAGACUAUUGUAGACCAUUUCCCUCGUCGUAUCUGGGUGUCUAAUGUAUGUCAAUUGUGGCAGGUAGUGAAUGAUUUCUUCUUGGAUGAGAAGCAUCUCAUAGUUGUUGAUGACUUGUGUUUAAAGGAAGCUGGCAAUCCAAUAGAAUUCUUGAGAAACAUGGGAAGAGUCUUCAAUGACAUAUCAAAUGGAACAAGACUACUUGUCACAGUUUCCAAUUUGAGGAAAGCUCCACCAGUUACUGAAACUAGUUUAACUUACAGCCUGCAUCUUCGAAGCCACGACGAGAGCUGGGCGCUGUUCACGCACACUUUGAAGGUAAACAUCUGCCGAGAGAUGGAGAAUCUUAAGGGACACAUCAUAAGAAAAUGUGGGGGGCUGCCAUGGGUAAUUGUGGAACUAAGUGAACUACUAUCACAAAAAGAUGCAACUCUAAAGGAGUGGUCAAAAGUACUUGACCACUUAAAUCAAGAUCAAGAGCCCUGGUUAGAAAUCCUAGAUGAGAUUAACAAGCAUUUACCUUUGCAUUUGAGAAGAUGUCUCUUUUAUUUUGGAUUAUUUCCAGCAGGCUUUAAGAUCCCUGCAAGAAGAUUGAUUGCCUUGUGGGUUGCUGAGGGUUUGGGGUGCCAACAGAGUAACGAACAAUCCCCUGAAUAUGUUGCAGAGGCA
This 12766-nucleotide long non-coding RNA is filed under the name Manihot esculenta (cassava). Its description in RNAcentral is "long non-coding RNA (MESC_LNC012159)". Lineage: Eukaryota; Viridiplantae; Streptophyta; Magnoliopsida; Malpighiales; Euphorbiaceae. The record is from RNAcentral.